AACAGCUUCGUGAUCAUCUUCGUGGUCACCGUGCUUCUCGCGGCGCUCGAUUUCUGGGUUGUGAAGAAUGUUAGCGGGAGGAUACUGGUCGGGCUGAGGUGGUGGAAUGAAAUCGAUGAACAAGGGGAGAGUAUUUGGAAGUUUGAGUCCUUGGAUCAGGAGUCACUUGCACGCAUGAACAAGAAGGAUUCAUGGCUCUUCUGGUGGACUCUUUAUCUCACGGCAGUUGCAUGGAUAUUUCUUGGGAUAUUCUCCCUUUUAAGGUUUCAAGCCGAUUAUCUACUGGUUGUGGGAGUUUGUUUGACUCUUAGCAUUGCGAAUAUUGUUGGCUUCACGAAGUGUCGCAAAGAUGCCAAGAAACAGAUCCAACAAUUUGCUACACAGACGAUAGCUACACGCUUCUCUUCGACAAUACAGUCAGCAUUCAGCGUCGUCUGAGCCGAACGGAGGUCAUAUAUAUAAGAGCAGUCUGUAAAUUGG
Molecule: unclassified non-coding RNA, 480 nt
Filed under: Hevea brasiliensis (rubber tree)
Lineage: Eukaryota; Viridiplantae; Streptophyta; Magnoliopsida; Malpighiales; Euphorbiaceae
Source: RNAcentral